AACACAUGCAAGUCGAGGGGAAACGACAUCGAAAGCUUGCUUUUGAUGGGCGUCGACCGGCGCACGGGUGAGUAACGCGUAUCCAACCUGCCCACCACUUGGGGAUAACCUUGCGAAAGUAAGACUAAUACCCAAUGAUAUCUCUAGAAGACAUCUGAAAGAGAUUAAAGAUUUAUCGGUGAUGGAUGGGGAUGCGUCUGAUUAGCUUGUUGGCGGGGUAACGGCCCACCAAGGCGACGAUCAGUAGGGGUUCUGAGAGGAAGGUCCCCCACAUUGGAACUGAGACACGGUCCAAACUCCUACGGGAGGCAGCAGUGAGGAAUAUUGGUCAAUGGGCGAGAGCCUGAACCAGCCAAGUAGCGUGCAGGAUGACGGCCCUAUGGGUUGUAAACUGCUUUUAUAAGGGAAUAAAGUGAGUCUCGUGAGACUUUUUGCAUGUACCUUAUGAAUAAGGACCGGCUAAUUCCGUGCCAGCAGCCGCGGUAAUACGGAAGGUCCGGGCGUUAUCCGGAUUUAUUGGGUUUAAAGGGAGCGUAGGCCGGAGAUUAAGCGUGUUGUGAAAUGUAGAUGCUCAACAUCUGAACUGCAGCGCGAACUGGUUUCCUUGAGUACGCACAAAGUGGGCGGAAUUCGUGGUGUAGCGGUGAAAUGCUUAGAUAUCACGAAGAACUCCGAUUGCGAAGGCAGCUCACUGGAGCGCAACUGACGCUGAAGCUCGAAAGUGCGGGUAUCGAACAGGAUUAGAUACCCUGGUAGUCCGCACGGUAAACGAUGGAUGCCCGCUGUUGGUCUGAAUAGGUCAGCGGCCAAGCGAAAGCAUUAAGCAUCCCACCUGGGGAGUACGCCGGCAACGGUGAAACUCAGAAGGAAUUGACGGAA
This 879-nucleotide ribosomal RNA is filed under the name uncultured bacterium. RNAcentral describes it as "bacterial SSU rRNA". It matches the Rfam family "Bacterial small subunit ribosomal RNA", at positions 50 to 918 of the family's 1533-position model. The record is from RNAcentral.